RNAcentral lists this ribosomal RNA (802 nucleotides) under uncultured bacterium. RNAcentral's name for it is "bacterial SSU rRNA". It matches the Rfam family "Bacterial small subunit ribosomal RNA", at positions 8 to 796 of the family's 1533-position model. The record is from RNAcentral.
AGAGUUUGAUCAUGGCUCAGGACGAACGCUGGCGGCGUGCUUAACACAUGCAAGUGGUGCGACGAACCAGAGCUUGCUCUGGGGCCAAGCCGCGAACGGGUGAGUAACACGUGAGUAAUCUGCCCCGAUGACCGGGACAACCCGAGGAAACUCGGGCUAAUACCGGAUGUGGUGCACGGAUUUAAGUCUGUGUACUAAAGGAAGCUUCGGCCUCCGCAUUGGGAGGAGCUCGCGGCCCAUUAGCUUGUUGGUGGGGUAACGGCCUACCAAGGCAACGAUGGGUAGCUGGUCUGAGAGGACGAUCAGCCACACUGGGACUGAGACACGGCCCAGACUCCUACGGGAGGCAGCAGUGGGGAAUCUUGCGCAAUGCGCGAAAGCGUGACGCAGCAACGCCGCGUGGGGGAAGACGGCCUUCGGGUUGUAAACCCCUUUCAGGAGGGACGAAGGUUCACCGGUUAAUAGCCGUGUGGAUUGACGGUACCUCCACAAGAAGCUCCGGCUAACUACGUGCCAGCAGCCGCGGUAAUACGUAGGGAGCAAGCGUUGUCCGGAAUCAUUGGGCGUAAAGAGCGCGUAGGUGGCUUUAUAAGUCCGUUGUGAAAGUCAAAGGCUCAACCUUUGAAAGCCGAUGGAUACUGUAGAGCUAGAGUACGGAAGAGGCGAGUGGAAUUCCUGGUGUAGCGGUGGAAUGCGCAGAUAUCAGGAGGAACACCAAUAGCGAAGGCAGCUCGCUGGGACGUUACUGACACUGAGGCGCGAAAGCGUGGGGAGCGAACAGGAUUAGAUACCCCAGUAGUCC